This 253-nucleotide ribosomal RNA is filed under the name uncultured bacterium. RNAcentral describes it as "partial 16S ribosomal RNA". It matches the Rfam family "Bacterial small subunit ribosomal RNA", at positions 524 to 776 of the family's 1533-position model. The record is from RNAcentral.
UACGUAGGGGGCUAGCGUUGUCCGGAAUCAUUGGGCGUAAAGCGCGUGUAGGCGGCCCGGUAAGUCCGCUGUGAAAGUCGGGGGCUCAACCCUCGAAUGCCGGUGGAUACUGUCGGGCUAGAGUGCGGAAGAGGCGAGUGGAAUUCCUGGUGUAGCGGUGAAAUGCGCAGAUAUCAGGAGGAACACCAAUUGCGAAGGCAGUUCGCUGGGACGUGACUGACGCUGAGACGCGAAAGCGUGGGGAGCAAACAGG